UUCUUAUCAAGAGAGGUAGAGGGACUGGCCCGGUGACACCUCAGCAACCAGCAUGGCGCAUGGUGCUAAUUCCAGCAAGUUGAUUCAACUUGGCCGAUAAGAG
RNAcentral lists this non-coding RNA (103 nucleotides) under [Bacillus] enclensis. RNAcentral describes it as "Bacillus enclensis SAM-I sequence". It matches the Rfam family "SAM riboswitch aptamer (S box leader)". From Rfam's summary of the family: The SAM riboswitch is found upstream of a number of genes which code for proteins involved in methionine or cysteine biosynthesis in Gram-positive bacteria. The SAM riboswitch acts at the level of transcription termination control. The record is from RNAcentral. Lineage: Bacteria; Bacillati; Bacillota; Bacilli; Caryophanales; Bacillaceae.